Molecule: ribosomal RNA, 494 nt
Filed under: uncultured bacterium
Lineage: Bacteria
Description: partial 16S ribosomal RNA
Rfam family: Bacterial small subunit ribosomal RNA
Source: RNAcentral
UGACCGCUGGCGGCGUGCCUAAUACAUGCAAGUCGAGCGAACAGACGAGGAGCUUGCUCCUCUGACGUUAGCGGCGGACGGGUGAGUAACACGUGGAUAACCUACCUAUAAGACUGGGAUAACUUCGGGAAACCGGAGCUAAUACCGGAUAAUAUAUUGAACCGCAUGGUUCCAUAGUGAAAGACGGUUUUGCUGUCACUUAUAGAUGGAUCCGCGCCGCAUUAGCUAGUUGGUAAGGUAACGGCUUACCAAGGCGACGAUGCGUAGCCGACCUGAGAGGGUGAUCGGCCACACUGGAACUGAGACACGGUCCAGACUCCUACGGGAGGCAGCAGUAGGGAAUCUUCCGCAAUGGGCGAAAGCCUGACGGAGCAACGCCGCGUGAGUGAUGAAGGUCUUCGGAUCGUAAAACUCUGUUAUUAGGGAAGAACAAAUGUGUAAGUAACUAUGCACGUCUUGACGGUACCUAAUCAGAAAGCCACGGCUAACUACGU